This 253-nucleotide ribosomal RNA is filed under the name uncultured bacterium. Its description in RNAcentral is "partial 16S ribosomal RNA". It matches the Rfam family "Bacterial small subunit ribosomal RNA", at positions 524 to 776 of the family's 1533-position model. The record is from RNAcentral.
UACGGAGGGUGCGAGCGUUGUCCGGAAUCACUGGGCGUAAAGGGCGCGUAGGCGGCGCGGGCAGUCAACGGUGAAAGCUCGGGGCUCAACUCCGAGUCGGCCGUCGAUACUCCCGCGCUCGAGCACUGUAGAGGCAGGUGGAAUUCCGGGUGUAGCGGUGGAAUGCGUAGAGAUCCGGAAGAACACCGGUGGCGAGGGCGGCCUGCUGGGCAGUAGCUGACGCUGAGGAGCGAAAGCGUGGGGAGCGAACAGG